Molecule: ribosomal RNA, 453 nt
Filed under: uncultured bacterium
Lineage: Bacteria
Description: bacterial SSU rRNA
Rfam family: Bacterial small subunit ribosomal RNA
Source: RNAcentral
UACGGAAGGCAGCAGUGGGGAAUAUUGCACAAUGGGCGCAAGCCUGAUGCAGCCAUGCCGCGUGUAUGAAGAAGGCCUUCGGGUUGUAAAGUACUUUCAGUCGUGAGGAAGGUGUUAAGGUUAAUAACCUUAGCAAUUGACGUUAGCGACAGAAGAAGCACCGGCUAACUCCGUGCCAGCAGCCGCGGUAAUACGGAGGGUGCGAGCGUUAAUCGGAAUUACUGGGCGUAAAGGGCACGCAGGCGGUUAAUUAAGUUGGUUGUGAAAUCCCCGGGCUUAACCUGGGAAUGGCAUUCAAGACUGGUUAGCUAGAGUCUUGUAGAGGGGGUAGAAUUCCAUGUGUAGCGGUGAAAUGCGUAGAGAUGUGGAGGAAUACCGGUGGCGAAGGCGGCCCCUGGACAAAGACUGACGCUCAUGUGCGAAAGCGUGGGGAGCAAACAGGGAUUAGAUACC